RNAcentral lists this ribosomal RNA (205 nucleotides) under Clostridioides difficile. RNAcentral describes it as "partial 23S ribosomal RNA". It matches the Rfam family "Bacterial large subunit ribosomal RNA", at positions 909 to 1114 of the family's 2925-position model. Lineage: Bacteria; Bacillati; Bacillota; Clostridia; Peptostreptococcales; Peptostreptococcaceae. The record is from RNAcentral.
ACUGAAUGUCCUAGGGGGUAUUGCACCUACCGAAGACUAUCAAACUCCGAAUGCCGUCAUCUUAUACUUGGGAGUCAGACUGUGGGUGAUAAGAUUCAUAGUUGAAAGGGCAACAGCCCAGAUCGUCAGCUAAGGUCCCUAAAUGUAAGUUAAGUGGUAAAGGAUGUGGGAUUGCACAGACAACCAGGAUGUUGGCUUAGAAGCA